AAGUUUUUGUUUUAAAUAAUUCAUCACUCAAUUGUUUCACUAAAUUCUUCUAAUUCUUCGGUCGAACGGCCGAUUCCUAAAUUGAAUUGGUCAACCAAUUUCGAUUGGUAUGUUGUAAAAAAUAAUUUGUUCGUUUUUUGUUCAUACGUC
Non-coding RNA from Caenorhabditis elegans, 150 nucleotides. Lineage: Eukaryota; Metazoa; Nematoda; Chromadorea; Rhabditida; Rhabditidae. The record is from Ensembl.